Molecule: RNA transcript, 1681 nt
Organism: Salmo salar (Atlantic salmon)
Lineage: Eukaryota; Metazoa; Chordata; Actinopteri; Salmoniformes; Salmonidae
Gene name: G protein pathway suppressor 2
Source: RefSeq, a predicted model, not a curated record
CCCAACUCCCAGGGCUCCACAGACGUCAAAACAGGAAGCGUCCUUUCACACCGGAAGUCUAUCAGUUCGAAAAAAAACUAAUUUAUGAAAGCGAAAUUCAUAAUAUAGAACCAAAGUUACAGUUUUCCAUAGCAUAACAAAUGUUCCCCUUUAUAAUCCACACCAAAAAACACACACCAAGCGGAGACAAAAGUUUUCAUCUUGGAAAACUCGCAAAGCAACGAAACUGGCCCCUCCACUUCCUGUCACCAUGCCUGCUCUGCAGGACAGACCGAAGCUGUCCAACGCCAUGGCCAGAGCCCUCCACAAACACAUUAUGAGAGAAAGAGACCGCAAAAGACAGGAGGAGGAAGAGGUGGACAAGAUGAUGGAGCAGAAGAUGAAAGAGGAAGAAGAGCGAAAGAGAACAAAAGAGAUAGAGGAGAGGAUGUCACUGGAAGAGACGAAAGAACAGGUGAUGAAGAUGGGGGAGAAGCUGCAGGGACUGCAGGAGGAGAAGCAUCAGCUCUUCCUCCAGCUGAAGAAGGUCCUGCACGAGGAGGAGAAGAGGCGCAGGAAGGAGCAGAGUGACAUCACAACACUGACGUCAGCCAGCUACCAGUCCAGUCUAACCAUGCACACAGGACAGCAUCUCCUCAACAUCCAAGGCAGUCCAGUCAGUCACAACAGGUCCGGGGCUCUCAUGUCGGAGCGCAGUAAGCAGUUGUUUCCAACACCUGUCAUCCCGAGUGACCGUUUCACUCUCCUCGCUCCACAGGGCCGCCACUACCAGAGCCAGCCUGGAUUCAGUGCGGGCCCGGCGGAGCACGGCCAGUUCGGUGGCAGUCAGUCGGUCCACGAGAGCUACGGCGUGGCCCAGACGCAGCACCCCUCCAGCUACGCCCCCGGCCCCUCUGUACCUGUCAGCUUCGCCACUAGCUCCCAGAUCAGAGGUGCGUCUGCGUUCCAGGCCAUGCAGUACCUUCCUCAUCAACAGCCUGGCUACGCUGUUCACAGUCACUUCACCUCCCAGCAGGGAUUCAUCCCUGGUGCUGGAAUACCCCUUCAGAAGCAGUUGGAACAUGCCAACCAACAGUCUGGCUUCACUGACGGGGUAAGACCAUUGGUCAGACAGAUGGGGAGGAAGAUGCUCUUUCAAGACGUGCACAUUAUAAGGGUGCUAUGAGACCCAUGCACCCCCAAGCCCUCCAUGCAUCUGUUGCUGGCCUGCUGCCCACCCCCUCCUUGGCUGUCCAGAUCCCCACUCCAAAGGCACCUUUCCAGAGCUCUCCCCAAACGGCUCCCCGCCAUGCCUUCCUCCCUCAUGCCCAGAGUUCACAGAGGUUCUAUCACCACAGCAAGUAACCACGGUUACCUGCCUAAACUAUCUCCCCUGGGAGUUCUUAUCGUUCAGAUUUCAUUGGCUCACUCAAGAUUCGUGAAGACUGGAAUUAUGGCAUAGUCAACUUGGAUUAUGAUGGUUGAUUGUAAAGCCCAAACCCACAGGCUUGACUUUAAUAUUUAUUGUAUAGUUCAUUUUAUUACUGCUGUAUUACUUUAGUUUUAGUGGCCUAAAUGUUCUAGGAAACUUCUCUCCAGAAACUGUAUAGUGUUUUACUUUCUCCUUUUUUUAUUGUGUGUUUGGAUGUAUUACCUCAAACUGUCCUCAAAACAAAUAAAAAAAAAUAUCACAAUUUGACAA